RNAcentral lists this transfer RNA (71 nucleotides) under Candidatus Scalindua sp. Its description in RNAcentral is "tRNA-Gly". It matches the Rfam family "tRNA". Rfam says of the family: Transfer RNA (tRNA) molecules are approximately 80 nucleotides in length. The record is from RNAcentral. Lineage: Bacteria; Pseudomonadati; Planctomycetota; Candidatus Brocadiia; Candidatus Brocadiales; Candidatus Scalinduaceae.
GCGGCUAUCGUCUAAUGGUAGGACACAACCUUGCCAUGGUUGGAAUGUCGGUUCAAAUCCGUCUAGCUGCU